UACGUAGGGUCCGAGCGUUGUCCGGAAUUACUGGGCGUAAAGAGCUCGUAGGUGGUUUGUCGCGUUGUUCGUGAAAACUCACAGCUCAACUGUGGGCGUGCGGGCGAUACGGGCAGACUAGAGUACUGCAGGGGAGACUGGAAUUCCUGGUGUAGCGGUGGAAUGCGCAGAUAUCAGGAGGAACACCGGUGGCGAAGGCGGGACUCUGGGCCGAUACUGACGCUGAGGAGCGAAAGCGUGGGGGAGCGAACAGG
This 254-nucleotide ribosomal RNA is filed under the name uncultured bacterium. RNAcentral's name for it is "partial 16S ribosomal RNA". It matches the Rfam family "Bacterial small subunit ribosomal RNA", at positions 524 to 776 of the family's 1533-position model. The record is from RNAcentral.